AAAUCUCUGGACUCCCUUCUACUGAGUACGAAGUUGAACAUCUUGCCUUGCCACAGCAAUUUGAUUACGUAGACUGCUUGGCUGCUACUCAUGGAGUACCUGGUCAUUCCAAAUGCAAUUUUCAAAUAUUUAUAAGCCUGGUAAGGAUGUCACAAGCUUAGAAGUGUAAAUAAAACUGUAUUUACUGGGUAUUGUCCCGCCGUUGCUACUAUCACAAGGUAUAGAUCCCUGUAACAGUAUGACAAUUUGGUAGCAAUGUUGUAAUUAUAUUAUUGUAUAGUAAAUUGUCAUACUGUUACAGGGAUCUAUACCUUGUGAUAGUAACAACGGCGGGACAAUACCCAGUAAAUACAGUUUUAUUUACACUUCUAAGCUUGUGACAUCCUUACCAGGCUUAUAAAUAUUUGAAAAUUGCAUUUGGAAUGACCAGGUACUCCAUGAGUAGCAGCCAAGCAGUCUACGUAAUCAAAUUGCUGUGGCAAGGCAAGAUGUUCAACUUCGUACUCAGUAGAAGGGAGUCCAGAGAUUUUGCAAACAAGACACUAGCAAAGGCUUGUCAAAAUGGCUACAAGGAAUGGUCCCCAACUGAAGCUGAUGACGACCGAUUUAAGUGUAGGGCCUUCUUGGACGCCCGAACAUUCUUAAGAGUCAUCAUGAGUUUCUGUCUCUCCCCUUCAACCUCCGCAAAUUGAAGGCUUAGCUGAGAGUAGCGGUCAUGCAUCUCUUUUAGUUCACUCUCCACAGCCGUAUACCUUCCCUUCAGUUCCAGCAUGUCUUUAAUCAGCUCAUUGAUAUCUCUAAAGCUUUUGAAUACUGCUUCCUCAUCACUGUGUUGUUUCAAGAAAGAACUCUGAAAAUGGAUGCUUGAUUGCUUCUUUGCCUGCAGAGCUUCUGCAAGCUCAAUUUCUAAUGCAAGCACCCUUUCUAACGCAUUGCCAGUCCCUGAAAAUUCAUUAAACAAAGGGAACAUGCUUCCUAGUUCUUCAUUGGCCUUUUCUAACUGCAUAAAUUCUCUUUGUAAAGUAGGAAAUUUCUGGUGAAAACCAUGAUUAUCUUGCAGAAGUGAAUUCUCGUUUUUCAUCCUCUUCAACUCAUUACUCAAGUGGUCCAUGCUAGACUUUAAACUUUCGGCUCUGAAAUGUUCAUUGAUAAGAGCUAAAUGCUUCAUGUCACUGUGCAGCAAC
This 1184-nucleotide unclassified non-coding RNA is filed under the name Hevea brasiliensis (rubber tree). The record is from RNAcentral. Lineage: Eukaryota; Viridiplantae; Streptophyta; Magnoliopsida; Malpighiales; Euphorbiaceae.